RNAcentral lists this ribosomal RNA (321 nucleotides) under Galapaganus darwini. RNAcentral's name for it is "partial 12S ribosomal RNA". The record is from RNAcentral. Lineage: Eukaryota; Metazoa; Arthropoda; Insecta; Coleoptera; Curculionidae.
GAUAUUACCAGGUUAGUAGUAGUUAUGUGCUUGAAAAUUAAAGAAGAUGGCGGUAUUUUAGUCUAUUCAGAGGAACCUGUCCUAUAAUCGAUGAUCCACGAUUUAUUAUACUUAUUUUAUAAGUUUGCAUAUCGCCGUAGAUUGAAUGUCCUUGAAGGGAUUUAAACAUUCAAGAGGUUUUUAUUUGUGAAAUUAAAUCAGGUCAAGAUGUAGCUAAUAAAUAAGAAGAGAUGGGUUACAAUAAAUUUAUUUAUAACGGAUUAAUAUAUGAAAUUUAUUAUAAAGGUGGAUUUGAGGGUAAUUUUAUACAAAUUUAUAAAA